Molecule: long non-coding RNA, 1125 nt
Filed under: Citrus x clementina
Lineage: Eukaryota; Viridiplantae; Streptophyta; Magnoliopsida; Sapindales; Rutaceae
Description: Citrus clementina (C. clementina) long non-coding RNA (CCLE_LNC003024)
Source: RNAcentral
AACAAUUUAAUUUUUGACAGUUAAAAAUUAAUUUUUUUUAUUUCUUAGGAUUAAAUUGGUAAUUUAAUUAUUUUCUUUUUAUUAAUGUCAAAACAAAGAAAUUAUUAUAAAAGGUUAAUAUUGUAAAAGUAAGACAAAAGAAAUAAAAAGUAACGGUAAGGGUAUCAAUACUUUAACGACAUAGAUGUUUCGAGACAUUUUUUAAAAUAUAAGGACUAAAUGGAUAUUAAUCUUAAAAUACAUGGACUAAAUAAGCUUUUAUCCUUUUUGCAAAAAUAAAGUUGACUACUUCUGGCCCAUUGGCGUGCUCAUGCCCUCAGCGUGCCCUCAACAACCUUGAGGGCAUGGGUUCAAGUCCCAACGCAGGGUCAUUGUUGGGACUUGCCUCCGUGUAAAAUGAGAGUUAAUUGGCUCCCCACAUUGGGGUAGGAUCAAUUUACCUCUAAUAAUGGUGAGGGUAAAUCUUCUUCCAGUCUAAUGAGGAUUUAUAUUCAGACUCUACUGUAAUAGAAUUACUCAGAUAAAAUUCCGACGAAUUUAUGAUUAUAAAUAUCAUGAUUGUAAUAUAUAAGUGUAUCCAAGAAAAAAAAAAGUUGACUACUUCUGACUUGGGGAACUGCCUCCACUUAUUAAUAUUUUUUAAUUAUAUUUAAAUUUACCUCUUAUUUUUUAUAAAAAAAAAAAUUUCACUCGCAUUUUUUAUUUUUCACCGCUUGAAAAGUCUAGGAUUCAAUUCUCACCAGGACGAGAGAUCUUCAUCUUAAAUGAGACAAAUUCUCAGGACUUCGACUGUUAUAAGAUGUAAGUAAUGAUAUAUAGAAUCGACACGAUCUAAACUCUGAACAAUAGAAUGUCAUUGAUUUUCCAAAAUUUCGUCCCCACAUUUGCUUCUCAUUGCAAUUAUUAUAUUGUCAUAUCUCGGAUACCCAAGGCUUUGAAGCGUGAUAUUACCAACAAGUUUGAACCUAAUAAUACAAUUCAUUUUUACAUCCACUUUCUUAAUAAAUUCUUUAUUAAAAAUUUAAGAACAAGACAUACUUUUCAAACAUAUGCGUGAAAAUAAUGUAGAUUGAUUUAACAGAUCUUUGAUUGGAAACUACCAAUAAUAUUAUAAUUUAGAGUUCA